RNAcentral lists this ribosomal RNA (253 nucleotides) under uncultured bacterium. RNAcentral's name for it is "partial 16S ribosomal RNA". It matches the Rfam family "Bacterial small subunit ribosomal RNA", at positions 524 to 776 of the family's 1533-position model. The record is from RNAcentral.
UACAGAGGGUGCAAGCGUUACUCGGAAUUACUGGGCGUAAAGCGCGCGUAGGUGGUUGUGUAAGUUGGAUGUGAAAGCCCCGGGCUUAACCUGGGAACUGCAUUCAAAACUGCACGGCUAGAGUACGGGAGAGGGGGGUAGAAUUCCAGGUGUAGCGGUGAAAUGCGUAGAGAUCUGGAGGAAUACCGAUGGCGAAGGCAGCCCCCUGGCCUGAUACUGACACUGAGGUGCGAAAGCAUGGGGAGCAAACAGG